CGGGGUGUGGCCUAGUUGGCUAAGGCGCAUGCUUUGGGAGCAUGAGAUCGUGGGUUCAAGUCCCACCACCCCGA
RNAcentral lists this transfer RNA (74 nucleotides) under Candidatus Levybacteria bacterium CG10_big_fil_rev_8_21_14_0_10_36_7. Its description in RNAcentral is "tRNA-Pro". It matches the Rfam family "tRNA". From Rfam's summary of the family: Transfer RNA (tRNA) molecules are approximately 80 nucleotides in length. Their secondary structure includes four short double-helical elements and three loops (D, anti-codon, and T loops). Further hydrogen bonds mediate the characteristic L-shaped molecular structure. tRNAs have two regions of fundamental functional importance: the anti-codon, which is responsible for specific mRNA codon recognition, and the 3' end, to which the tRNAs corresponding amino acid is attached (by aminoacyl-tRNA synthetases). tRNAs cope with the degeneracy of the genetic code in two manners: having more than one tRNA (with a specific anti-codon) for a particular amino acid; and 'wobble' base-pairing, i.e. permitting non-standard base-pairing at the 3rd anti-codon position. Lineage: Bacteria; Candidatus Levyibacteriota. The record is from RNAcentral.